This 391-nucleotide unclassified non-coding RNA is filed under the name soil metagenome. RNAcentral's name for it is "partial contains 5.8S ribosomal RNA, internal transcribed spacer 2, and large subunit ribosomal RNA". The stretch from base 1 to 122 matches the Rfam family "5.8S ribosomal RNA", at positions 35 to 154 of the family's 154-position model. The record is from RNAcentral.
GAUGAAGAACGUAGUGAAAUGCGAUACUUGGUGUGAAUUGCAGAAUCCCGUGAACCAUCGGGUCUUUGAACGCAAGUUGCGCCCGAAGCCAUUAGGCCGAGGGCACGCCUGCCUGGGCGUCACACGUCGUUGCCCCCCCAUCUACUCCUUCGGGAUUGCGGGGGGCGGAUGAUGGCCUCCCGUGCGCCUCGCCGCGCGGUUGGCAUAAAUGCCAAGUCCUCGGCGACGCACGCCACGACAAUCGGUGGUUGCGAAACCUCGGUUGCCCGUCGUGUGCGGUCGUCGCGCAUCGAGGGCUCGAAAAAAUUGCCGGGUUCCGGCUCGGCUUUCAACGCGACCCCAGGUCAGGUGGGGUUACCCGCUGAAUUUAAGCAUAUCAAUAAGCGGAGGA